UACGUAGGGUGCGAGCGUUAAUCGGAAUUACUGGGCGUAAAGCGUGCGCAGGCGGCUUUGCAAGUCAGAUGUGAAAUCCCCGGGCUCAACCUGGGAACUGCAUUUGUGACUGCAAGGCUAGAGUACGGCAGAGGGGGAUGGAACUCCGCGUGUAGCAGUGAAAUGCGUAGAUAUGCGGAGGAACACCAAUGGCGAAGGCAAUCCCCUGGGCCUGUACUGACGCUCAUGCACGAAAGCGUGGGGAGCAAACAGG
RNAcentral lists this ribosomal RNA (253 nucleotides) under uncultured bacterium. RNAcentral's name for it is "partial 16S ribosomal RNA". It matches the Rfam family "Bacterial small subunit ribosomal RNA", at positions 524 to 776 of the family's 1533-position model. The record is from RNAcentral.